AACGAACGCUGGCGGCAGGCUUAACACAUGCAAGUCGAGCGCAUCCUUCGGGGUGAGCGGCGGACGGGUGAGUAACGCGUGGGAACGUGCCCUCUUCUACGGAAUAGCCUCGGGAAACUGAGAGUAAUGCCGUAUACGCCCGCAAGGGGAAAGAUUUAUCGGAGGAGGAUCGGCCCGCGUUGUUUUAGGUUGGUGGGGGGGUAACGGCCUACCAAGCCGACGAUCCAUAGCGGGUUUGAGAGGAAGAUCAGCCACACUGGGACUGAGACACGGCCCAGACUCCUACGGGAGGCAGCAGUGGGGAAUCCUGGACAAUCGCGGCAACCCUGAUCCCGCCAUGCCGCGUGAUCGAUGAAGGCCUUAGGGUUGUAAAGAUCUUUCAGCUGGGAAGAUAAUGACGGUACCAGCAGAAGAAGCCCCGGCUAACUCCGUG
RNAcentral lists this ribosomal RNA (433 nucleotides) under uncultured bacterium. RNAcentral describes it as "partial 16S ribosomal RNA". It matches the Rfam family "Bacterial small subunit ribosomal RNA", at positions 29 to 507 of the family's 1533-position model. The record is from RNAcentral.